GGUGGGUAUGGUGCAGUUGGUUAGCGCGCCAGAUUGUGGUUCUGGAUAUCGCCGGUUCGAGUCCGGCUAUCCACCU
This 76-nucleotide transfer RNA is filed under the name Mediterraneibacter torques. RNAcentral describes it as "[Ruminococcus] torques tRNA-His(gtg)". It matches the Rfam family "tRNA". From Rfam's summary of the family: Transfer RNA (tRNA) molecules are approximately 80 nucleotides in length. RNAcentral also lists the same sequence under 1 other name. Lineage: Bacteria; Bacillati; Bacillota; Clostridia; Lachnospirales; Lachnospiraceae. The record is from RNAcentral.